CCUACGGGGGGCAGCAGUCGAGAAUCAUUCACAAUGGGGGAAACCCUGAUGGUGCGACGCCGCGUGGGGGAAUGAAGGUCUUCGGAUUGUAAACCCCUGUCAUGUGGGAGCAAAUUAAAAAGAUAGUACCACAAGAGGAAGAGACGGCUAACUCUGUGCCAGCAGCCGCGGUAAGUCAGAGGUCUCAAGCGUUGUUCGGAAUCAAUGGGCGUAAAGGGUGCGUAGGCUGUUUCGUAAGGCGUGUGUGAAAGGCGCGGGCUCAACCCGCGGCCGGCACAUGAUACUGCGAGACUAGAGUAAUGGAGGGGGAACCGGAAUUCUCGGUGUAGCAGUGAAAUGCGUAGAUAUCGAGAGGAACACUCGUGGCGAAGGCGGGUUCCUGGACAUUAACUGACGCUGAGGCACGAAGGCGAGGGGAGCGAAAGGGAUUAGAUACCCGGGUAGUC
RNAcentral lists this ribosomal RNA (446 nucleotides) under uncultured bacterium. RNAcentral describes it as "partial 16S ribosomal RNA". It matches the Rfam family "Bacterial small subunit ribosomal RNA", at positions 338 to 795 of the family's 1533-position model. The record is from RNAcentral.